GUGCGCAUGGCUGAGCCAGGUCUAGGCAGACGGCUGCAACCCGUCAUACGUCGGUUCAAAUCCGGCUGCGCACU
RNAcentral lists this transfer RNA (74 nucleotides) under Acidobacteriota bacterium. Its description in RNAcentral is "Acidobacteria bacterium tRNA-Cys". It matches the Rfam family "tRNA". From Rfam's summary of the family: Transfer RNA (tRNA) molecules are approximately 80 nucleotides in length. Lineage: Bacteria; Pseudomonadati; Acidobacteriota. RNAcentral also lists the same sequence under 1 other name. The record is from RNAcentral.